Molecule: long non-coding RNA, 872 nt
Organism: Homo sapiens (human)
Lineage: Eukaryota; Metazoa; Chordata; Mammalia; Primates; Hominidae
Source: Ensembl
CAGUACAUCUGUACCACAUUCAUGUGGCAAAUGCUGCUUUAUGGAGAUGUUUCUAAUACUGACCUACAAUAAUUCAGCCAAGAUCACGUUUCUACUGUCUUCAGGAAAUGAGAAAAAUGAAUCCAGGAAAUUUCCAUCUUUAACUAUACUCUGUAAAUGUGCUGUCCAAUACACAGAUAGCUACUGAGCACUGGAAUAUAGCUAGUCUGAAUGGAGAUGUUCUAAGGACGUGUUUGCUUCCCCUUCUGCCGUGACUGUAAGUUUCCUGAGGCCUCCCCAGCCCUGCAGAACUAGCCUUGGAAAGAAGAACCACGCAGAGAGACAACAUAUGUAACCUCAUGCUUUUUAUGUACAAGUGGUGGAAUUUUUCCAUUCUCCAUUUUCUUUCUUCUCUAUCUUCCUGUAUCUUUGUCACCAUGUUAAGGUAACAUCCAGCCACAUGCCCCAAAUCUUCAAUACGUUAUGCCAAUUCAGGGUGACUUAAAGAUGCUUUGUAAAUGCUCUUUUGCAAAAAAGUAUGAUUAAAGGAUUUCAGCGUAUUCUCUCACUGGGACAUCUUAUGUUAUUCUGAAAUGAAGAGUUUACUAAAAUUAUAUUUGAUCAUGAUGAAUCUUUUUAAAACCACUUAAGGAAACAGGAAGAAUUUCUUAUAUUCUGGAAAUUUUGUCUGUGAUAAUAAUUGUCAUGGAUUGUUGUCCUUAGAAUCAAGGGGGUUCAUCACAAAACAACUUUUUAUGGUAAUGAGGAAGCAGAUCAUUCAAGUUUGUUUUUCCUCCUCAAGAAUUCUUUGUAAAUGUGUUUGGAAAAGUUUGGUAGCCUUAUUUUCUAUAUUAAUUUUUGAAUAUUUAAAAUAAAUUGUUUCUAGGUUUGAA